UGCGUAGGCGGAUUAAUAAGUCAGUGGUGAAAUCUUUCGGCUCAACCGAGAAACUGCCAUUGAUACUGUUAAUCUUGAGUUCGGUUGAGGUAGGCGGAAUGUGUAAUGUAGCGGUGGAAUGCUUAGAUAUUACACAGAACACCAAUUGCGUAGGCAGCUUACUAGACCGACACUGACGCUGAGGCACGAAAGCGUGGGGAGCGAACAGGAUUAGAUACCCUGGUAGUCC
RNAcentral lists this ribosomal RNA (229 nucleotides) under uncultured bacterium. RNAcentral's name for it is "partial 16S ribosomal RNA". It matches the Rfam family "Bacterial small subunit ribosomal RNA", at positions 568 to 796 of the family's 1533-position model. The record is from RNAcentral.